This 494-nucleotide ribosomal RNA is filed under the name uncultured bacterium. RNAcentral's name for it is "partial 16S ribosomal RNA". It matches the Rfam family "Bacterial small subunit ribosomal RNA", at positions 28 to 507 of the family's 1533-position model. The record is from RNAcentral.
GACGAACGCUGGCGGCGUGCUUAACACAUGCAAGUCGAACGGUGAAGCGCCUUCCUUUUUGGUGGGUGUGGAUGAGUGGCGAACGGGUGAGUAACACGUGAGUAACCUGCCCCCUUCUUCUGGUUAACCGCAUGAAAGUGUGGCUAAUACGGGAUAUUCUGGGUCUGUCGCAUGAUGGGUCUGGGAAAGAUAUUGUUUCGGUGGGGGAUGGGCUCGCGGCCUAUCAGCUUGUUGGUGGGGUGAUGGCCUACCAAGGCGGUGACGGGUAGCCGGCCUGAGAGGGUGGACGGUCACACUGGGACUGAGACACGGCCCAGACUCCUACGGGAGGCAGCAGUGGGGAAUAUUGCACAAUGGGCGCAAGCCUGAUGCAGCGACGCCGCGUGAGGGAUGGAGGCCUGCGGGUUGUGAACCUCUUUCGCCAGUGAAGCAGGCCUGCCUCGUUUGUGGGUGGGUUGACGGUAGCUGGAUAAGAAGCGCCGGCUAACUACGUG